AUUGAACGCUGGCGGCAUGCCUUACACGUGCAAGUCGAACGGUAACAGGUUAAGCUGACGAGUGGCGAACGGGUGAGUAAUGUAUCGGAACGUGCCCAGUCGUGGGGGAUAACGUAGCGAAAGCUACGCUAAUACCGCAUACGAUCUACGGAUGAAAGCGGGGGAUCGCAAGACCUCGCGCGAUUGGAGCGGCCGAUAUCAGAUUAGGUUGUUGGUGAGGUACAAGCUCACCAAGCCUGCGAUCUGGAGCUGGUCUGAGAGGAGGACUAGCCACACUGGAACUGAGACACCGUCCAGACUCCUACGGGAGGCAGCAGUGGGGAAUUUUGGACAAUGGACGCAAGUCUGAUCCAGCAAUGCCGCGUGCAGGACGAAGGCCUUCGGGUUGUAAACUGCUUUUGUACGGAACGAAACGGUGAGCUCUAAUACAGCUUGCUAAUGACGGUACCGUAAGAAUAAGCACCGGCUAACUACGUGCCAGCCGCCGCGGUAA
RNAcentral lists this ribosomal RNA (493 nucleotides) under uncultured bacterium. RNAcentral describes it as "partial 16S ribosomal RNA". It matches the Rfam family "Bacterial small subunit ribosomal RNA", at positions 30 to 523 of the family's 1533-position model. The record is from RNAcentral.